This 434-nucleotide ribosomal RNA is filed under the name Chromodoris magnifica. RNAcentral's name for it is "partial 16S ribosomal RNA". It matches the Rfam family "Bacterial large subunit ribosomal RNA", at positions 1817 to 2597 of the family's 2925-position model. The record is from RNAcentral. Lineage: Eukaryota; Metazoa; Mollusca; Gastropoda; Nudibranchia; Chromodorididae.
AGCCUUUGGAGAGGAUUAAAGGUUAUACCUGCCCAAUGUUGUAUUAAUGGCCGCGGUACUUUGACCGUGCUAAGGUAGCACAAUCAAUUGGCCCUUAAUUAGGGUCAGGUAUGAAUGGAGUUACGGGGCUUAGCUGUCUCUAGACUAUUUAAUUGAAGUUGCUAUAUAGGUGAAAAAGCCUGUAUUAAGAAAAAAGACGAGAAGACCCUUAGAGUUUUACUUAAAAAAGAGUUAUUUCUUCACUAGUUUUGUUGGGGCAACAUAGGAGAAGAACCAAACCUCCUAAAAGGUAUAAACCGAUGUUUUUAAAUAUGAAUAAACUACCUUAGGGAUAACAGCAUAAUUUUAAAAAUAAGUUUGUGACCUCGAUGUUGGACUAGGAAACUUAAGGGCUAGCCGCCUUUUGGUAAGGUUCUGUUCGAACUAUAAUUCCU